AAACGACCUUAAAAUAUAGUGUUAACCUACAAAUGUGGGGGAGGAAAAAACAGUGUCUACAAAUUGAGGGGAGGAGAUAGAUUAUUUUAUUAAAAUACUGUUAACUGACCACAAUAUUGGUUUGCCUUUGCUAAUAUUUUAAAUGUAACAUUCAUUUUUGUAAACAAUUUCCAUAUUGUAGUCUCAAUUCUUGUUUUACUGGCAGGGAUUUUUUAUUGUUAAUUCUGAAUUCACACUAUUUAAAACAUAUACGUAAAACUUUUAAGGGGAAAAGGUUUUUAUUUGGGUGUUAUGCUUGCCAGUCUUGAUUUUUUGUUUUACCCAGCCCAUGAUAAUAGCCUAUGCUGAUCAGUCAGAUUGCUUAGUAACAGAUAUGUUUAUUUGAAUAAUUUACCUUUUUAAUAAAGGGAGGAAAGUGGUGAGAUACGGUAAAACUCUUGGGCCAUUAUAACUGACAGUGCUGGAUGAGUACUUGCUAAAUACUCACAGGCAAGUUGUUUGUGUUACACUAAAGAUAGUGAUGGAGCGGAUAGUGUUAUCAGGGAUACAAAACAUGACAGUUAUAAGCGCAAAGUUAAUUUUACAAAGGACUGAACAAAAAUACUGUCCUAUGCUCUUGCAACUGCAUAAAUUAAGACUGGACAUAAGACUUUGAUAGAGUACAAGAAAAUGGCAAGACCUCAGUUGGCAUGCUGGCAGCAAUCCACAUAGCCCAGAUUAUACUAUAAGGAAAUAAUUUUAUUAGUUCUGUUACAGAAUUAAAAAAAAUAGUCUUUUAUAAACUGUUGUUACCAUUAUAGUUGCAAGAAGGGAAAUAAAAGAAAAUUGCCUAAGAAGUUUGUAUGGUUUUACAGAAAAUGGGUGAUUUUCCUGCCUCUGAAGAAAGUUAGCUAAGAAAUCAGAGCUAUGAGCUCUGACAAAAUGUGACAACACUUGCUUGUAAAAAACAAAACCAAACCCUAAAAAAAAAAAGGGGCAAGCAAAAAACCCCUCCCUCCCAAGAAACAUUAUCCCACCCUUCCCACCUUUACUUUCAGUUACUUUUCAAAUGUUGUGGUUAACAGAAAGUUCUGGGGGUUGACAAGGAGGUCGGUUUUAAAAAGGAGCGAUGAGAUGUUGGAAAGAAACCCGAGUAGGAUAAAAAGUAUUCCUUAAACUUUUUUAAAAGCAAUCUAGUACAAAAAGACUUCUUGCUUGCUCUUCACUUUUAUAUGUACACAUGCAAAUUAUAUGUAUCUAUAAAUACAGAGAUUUACUAUGUGAAAUUAUGUAAAACCAUAGGGAAAGAUUUUCCUUCCCCCCAGUGUAAGGAGAAGGCUUGUUGCUAUAUGCAGCAAGUACCUUAUUCUAGAGAGCAGAAACACUUGAGAUCCUGGGGUGGGGUGCUACACCACUGCAGUACUAUAAUUUCCACUCCUUUUAUAAUAAGGAAUAAAUAGAAAAAAAGUCUUAAUUGAAAAGUGACUGUAAAUGUGUCUCUUGGGAAAAGUUAGUUCCUAUGCUGCUUGUCUUAAAUGCCUACUUAUGUGUUCUUACUACAGAAAUCCUUCAGAAAUCCUACAGCAAUCCUCCUUACUACAGAAAUCCUACUAAAACCUGAGCUGAACAGUACUUGUUUGUGUAGUAUCUGUAACAGUGGUCCUGUCCUUAGCAUGACCUGCUUACCUACUACUCUCAAAUUUGUGCAUUUGUGGGAAUAACACACCUUUGCAGUUAGGCAUUAACAGCCACACUUCAAGUUGCUCUCCACCUGUACAUUCCUUUAGGCCUGUGUGCAUUCUUCAAGGCUUCUGGCUCUCUUUAUGCGAUCUGCUGAGGUUAGAAAGUUCCUGUCAGUCUCUGUCCUUACUAAUAUUUCUGAGAGAACAUCUGGACUGACCCCACAGACUUUAGACCUACCUUUCUUGUUUCUGUUUCGGUACCUAGUACUCAGAUCCUUUCCUUUCGACCUCUGCGUCAUUUUGUUUUGAUUGCUUUUUAUAAAGGAUCCUAUCUGCCACUGGUGAGGAGGCAGAUUAGUUCCAGUGACUGACAAAGCUGAGUGUUCUCAAUAUACUGUGCAGAUGUACUCACUUGCCAGGCUCCAGGUUUCUCUUCUGGGUAAAUCUUCUUGUCAGCGUCGGGCCUUGAAUGCAACAUGCUGAAAACCCUUUAAUGGUGCAGGGAUUUUCUUCAGAAGUGGGGAGAUGCUGACUGUGUCAGCACUACCACUGUCCAGAACAAACAUGCACACAAUGUUUCUCUGAUAAGCCUCUUAACAUUUCUGUUGAAUUUGAGAGAAAUCAAAGGAAGAUCCCAAUUGGAAUUCAUUAGGUGAUAUACAUCAUUUCCUCUUAUCAAUCCAGCUCUAGUGCUUUGUUGUCCUGCAUGGAACACAAUGAAGCUUGGAGGUUUCAAGCUCUCAGGGCUGACAGUAGAAUUCAUUGCAGAAAGGCAGAGAUGAAUGUUGGGUUUUCCCUUUGCUACUUAAUGAGCUAGCCAGGGCUGUAGCAUUUAUUGCAUUUGCUAGCUGUGGUCAUAGGUUCAUUAAAGCUCGGUAGCUAUAGCAUCCCAAUGCAUCACUAGCGUCAUUUUUCUGAGUGAUGUCUUGAAGAUCAUAGAAUCAUAGGAUAGUUUGGGUUGGAAGGGACCCUCAAACGUCAUUUAGUCCAAUCCCCCUGUCAUGAGCAGGGACAUCUUGAACUAGAUGUGUCAGAAUUAAUUCUAUUAGCUCCAAUUUGACCAACAGAGUUCUGUUUUCUGUCAUCUUGUUUGCCAACAAGGAUCUCCAAGAUUCCUUUUCUUGACACUGGAUCUGGUCAUGACAUUUGGAUCUUUGUGUGCUGUUUAGUGGUUAUCCAGCAGAUUGGUGGAAUCUGUCUAAUUGGAGGUUGGGAGGGAGUUUACUUGUUAAGAAAAAAGUACUUAUAAAAAUGUGCAAGAUCUUGCCUGUAAUUGUCCAUAAGAAGAACACAUACCAACUUACAUGAGUGAAUUGUGCUUUUUGGCUUGACAUUUAUGUAAGGUUAUUUUUACCCCAAGGCCUCCAUUCCAGUUAUUCAAGAACACUGCUUAGAAUUGAAGUCUAGUGGCUUCAGCCACUUUGAAUCAGUAGGCUCAGCUCUGUAGAAGUAGUUAAAUGAUAUCCAAGCUAUUGGUGACAGGCCAUCAUGCCAGAUGCUACCUGAUGUUGGUGCUGAAGUUCUUGAAUUACUUGGUUGAAGUGUUUCUUCCAUUUUGAUGAACAAGUCCACAGUGACUCUUGAGCUUUGUCACAAAGUAUGAUUCAACCCAUUGAAAUAAAUGCCCAUAUUCAUGCAUCUUCUGUCCAUGAAGGUAAAUCUUUCUGAUGACAUUCAUGUCAGGAGGGCUUCGUGUGCCUGUAUAGCAAGCAGUCUGAUACGACUUCUGGCCUUAUGCUAAGUUUUCAUCUAGGACUGGGGCAAAGGUCUGUAAUGACUGCGAAAUCCACUAUGGUGGGAUUUAUUCCCCCAAAACGUGUCUGUGUUCUGGGAUGUUUAUUUCUUUGCUCAGAAUAGUGUAUGUAGCAGGCUUAGGCUUGCUUCACCUUGCAGACACCUACCUCCGCUGGAUUGGUAUAGAAAUCUGUGGUAAUUUGUGCUUCAGCUCUUUGAAAUAGGGUAAUAAUCUCCACAUCAGGCAGCAGUUCAAGUGGACUUCAGACUGCUUGUCUGCUGCAGAACUGAAAAGGUAGCUCCACCAGUAGCGAUGAGAGCACUAGGCUAUAUUUAUAGCCUCCUUCUAAAAUCAUUAAUUCCAGAUGUGGCAGAGUUGGCCCUCUUAUCAAAUGCGACAUUGUUAUAGGCUGUAUUUGUCUAGUUGCUUUUCAUGUGUGUUUCUGAGACCAGCUUGAAGGUGAAUGAACAAUGUGCGCAGUAAAAAAACUACUUUUCCCCUCCAUGGGCAUGUGUGCACAUAUUAGGAUUUUAUUAUAUUUUUUUUUUUUUUUGGUGCGGUGUUUCUCUCUCUUAUUCUGCCAUCUUUUUCCUUAUUCUGAUAGUCUUUUGCAUUUGCACUUCAGUAGUUGGAAAGAAAUGAAGAAAUAAAACAGGGUGUAUACAUGCUGACUGAGUACUACUUGUAUAAAAAUCUCUGAUGUACUUGACAUACAUUUCCAUCCACAAUACAUUGUGAAUUUACUGUAAGUAACUUCUCUUGAGCACUCAAGAAGGGAUGACUCUCAGCUCUCUAGUUCUUCUGGCUCUACAGCGCUAUGGGACAGGGAAAAUUAGUGAAAACUUGCCUUGCGUUAAAAUAAGAAGUUACAGAAUCGAUUUACAUGUUUCAUGCUUUAGAAAGCUAAAUUCUUGUCCUUCACCAGAAGUAACUGGGUUGGAGAACUGCCAACUAUUAUGGAUUUAUCAGGAACGCCAUCAUUAUUUUGGUUCCUUUUUUAAAGAGCUUUUACGAAAAAGGAAUAAGCUUCCAAAAAUCAGUUAUGUUUGCCUGCACAAGUUCCUCAUACCGUAGGAAGAAAACAUGGACUUAAUCAGCUGUUAGAUUCUUCCAGGACUUCUCCAACAAAUACUUCUUUUUCUUAUGUUUAAUAUUAGCAGGAUUUAGUUUUCAAUUUCUGUGCUCUUUAUGGUUCUGGUUUCUAUAUUCACUGAAUUAAAAUGACCAAAAAAAUGAGAAGAAAAACCCCCAAACAACUAAACCACGAGCAGAGAACCAACCCCCCCCCAAAAAAAAAAAUAAACCCACAAAUGAAAACAAAACAACAACCCCCACCCCCAACAACAUCACAGCAAUGGAGUUUUAUGUAGUUCCUUAAUUGUUAGGCUGUGCACAGAGGUGUUUUGCCUUUUACUGAUUCCAGUCCUAAGUGACUUUUCCAGUUCAGGUGACUUUCCAUGUUGGCAAGUGAGGGUCAUGGGAUCAAACAGUUACAUUUUCUGUUGUAGCUCUAUAGUCUAUGCAACUGCUGAAUAUCAUGAUCCUUCCACAGUGAUAGUUCAUUAUCAUGCCGUACAAAAAUGUUGAAACAGUGCGCAAAGUGUGUGUUACACUCAUUGUGCAGAACAGUGGAAUUGUUUUCCGGCAGUAUUUUUAUAGUUCUUAUUAGAGGCAUGUUUCAGUUCAGAUUCUGGAUUGUUGACUGGUGUGGAAGAGAUAAAGCUUUAUAAAUGAAAGUGCUUGUGCAUCAGUCAUCUACAGUUGGGAAUAUUGUUUAUGCUAAACCCCUCUGAAGGAAUAAUGAUUGGAUAAAUGCA
Long non-coding RNA from Strigops habroptila (Kakapo), 5213 nucleotides. RefSeq lists it as uncharacterized. The transcript is spliced from 2 exons. Lineage: Eukaryota; Metazoa; Chordata; Aves; Psittaciformes; Psittacidae. The record is from RefSeq and is a predicted model, not a curated record.